AUUCCAGCUCCAAUAGCGUAUAUUUAAGUUGUUGCAGUUAAAAAGCUCGUAGUUGGAUUUUGGUUAAGAGGGCGCGGUCGGCCGUUUGGUCUGUACUGCGUUGUCUUGACUUCCUGAUGAGGACAUGCUCUUGGUUAACGCUGAGACAUGGAGUCAUCGUGGUUACUUUGAAAAAAUUAGAGUGUUCAAAGCGGGCUUACGCUUGAAUAUAUUAGCAUGGAAUAACACUAUAGGACUCCUGUCCUAUCUCGUUGGUCUCGGGAUGGGAGUAAUGAUUAACAGGGACAGUCAGGGGCACUCGUAUUCCGCCGAGAGAGGUGAAAUUCUCAGACCAGCGGAAGACGAACCACUGCGAAAGCAUUUGCCAAGGAUGUUUUCAUUA
RNAcentral lists this ribosomal RNA (382 nucleotides) under Bathycoccus sp. RNAcentral's name for it is "partial small subunit ribosomal RNA". It matches the Rfam family "Eukaryotic small subunit ribosomal RNA", at positions 582 to 975 of the family's 1831-position model. Lineage: Eukaryota; Viridiplantae; Chlorophyta; Mamiellophyceae; Mamiellales; Bathycoccaceae. The record is from RNAcentral.